UGAGAAUAAUGCCCCAUAGUUCACUACGCCUGGAACGGUGAGUGGAUGAAAGCUCCGGCGGCAUAGGAUGGGCCUGCGGCGUAUCAGGUCGUAGGGGGUGUAACGUACCCUCUAGCCAUCGACGCGUACGGGUGUUGGGAGACAUAGCCCGGAGAUGGAUUCUGAGACACGAAUCCAGACCCUACGGGGUGCAGCAGGCGCGAAAACUUGGCAAUGCGGGAAAUCGUGACCAGGGAACUCCAAGUGGCUGGGGUAAGACCCAGUCUUUUCUUGACUCUUCAAAGGUCUUGGAAUAAGAGGUGGGUAAGGACGGUGCCAGCCGCCGCGGUAAUACCGGCGCCUCAAGUGGUAGUCGAUUUUAUUGGGCCUAAAACGUCCGUAGCCUGUUUGGUACAUUCGUGGGUAAAUCAACCAGCUCAACUGGUUGAAUUCUGCGAGCACGGCCAGACUUGGGACCGGGAGAGGUGUGGGGUACGCUCAGGGUAGGGGUAAAAUCCUGUCAUCCUGAGCGGACCACCUGUUGCGAAGGCGCCACACUAGAACGGAUCCGACGGUCAGGGACGAAGCCUAGGGGCACGAACCGGAUUAGAUACCCGGGUAGUCCUAGGUGUAAACGCU
RNAcentral lists this ribosomal RNA (618 nucleotides) under uncultured archaeon. RNAcentral's name for it is "bacterial SSU rRNA". It matches the Rfam family "Archaeal small subunit ribosomal RNA", at positions 141 to 761 of the family's 1478-position model. The record is from RNAcentral.